CAGCCAUGUCCCUAAGCACCACCUGAACAUCUUUGUGUCUUUUGAACACUUCCAGGAACAGUGAUUCCACCACUUCCUUGGACAGCCUGUCUUUCUGCUCGACCACCCUUCCAGUGAAGAAAUUUUCCCAGUAUCCAGUAGAUGAAAGCAAAGAGUCUUAGACAACGGUCCUUUUGCACUUUUUGAGCAAGGAGAGUCAAUGAUGGUGGGAUGGAGGUGGAGGUGCUGGUGCCCUGCUCUUGCCAAGCUGGGCAGGAGCAGGGUGAGCACUGCCAUCCUCCAGCCCCUGCCGCCAGCCACCUGUGAUGCUCUCCUUAAUAUUGGCAUGUGAACACGUGUGUCAGGUUAUUUCAAGGGAAAGUCAAGCUGGAUGAGCCAACAUGGAGAAUACAUUCUGCCUCUUCUGCAAAUGCAGAAUCACUUUUGUGUGGUGUUGCUCAGAUCCAGGACAGACUCGGUCCUCAUCUGUUAGAAACGUUAUUAAAAAGAACAGUGACAGGUAAAACCAGCAACACAGGCAAGACCAGAUCUCUGCUUCCCCAGUUGCCCCCUCACAGGUUUAAUCCAGGAGGAUGCUGCUGUCUCCUGCAGCACAGAGGCCAGGCACAUCCACGGCAGAGGAAAAGGCAUGCUGGAAAUAUCUGCUCUGCUCUCAGUCUGUACCUUGUGACCCUGCCAGGACCAGCCCCCCGCAGCCUCCAUUGUCCCCUGCUCUGCUCCCCAUUGUUCCCUUGCAAUCGGAGAU
RNAcentral lists this long non-coding RNA (745 nucleotides) under Cyanistes caeruleus (blue tit). Its description in RNAcentral is "lncRNA (ENSCCEG00000013364.1)". The record is from RNAcentral. Lineage: Eukaryota; Metazoa; Chordata; Aves; Passeriformes; Paridae.